Long non-coding RNA from Homo sapiens (human), 3766 nucleotides. Ensembl annotates it as long intergenic non-protein coding RNA 511. NCBI's taxonomy places the organism in Eukaryota, Metazoa, Chordata, Mammalia, Primates, Hominidae. The record is from Ensembl.
UACAAAAAUUGCUGGGCUUAAUGCUGAUUGGAAUAGAGUUCACUAACAGUUGGAAAAGAAGAAAAUGCAAGUAUCUUUGGUAUUUUAAAAUAACAGAAGUAAAAAGGAAACAGGGACUGAGUUUUUGAGAAUCCUGUACUGUUGAUGAUGUCACUUUUUCAGAAGUAAUCUCUAAGUUUCAGUACACAGGCUGUAGGUAUUUGCAGAGGGUGUGUGUUCUAAGAUUCCCUUAAGCAGGGAACUCCCUAGGCUGUUGAAUGGGUCAGGGUGGGGGUUGACAGUGGGGAGUGGAAGGGGGAGGCUUGACUCAUGUCCACCCUCCUCAUCCCUCUGCCUUUCCACAAGUGGGAGCUGCCUGUAGAAACAGAGCAUUGCUUAAGAAGCUCAAGUUUUAUUUCACCUGUUGGGUGUAUUUGUCUGUUUAUACUCUGCCUCAUUCCACUUUCUUCUAGAAAGGAUUUAAGGCAGCCAGGACCCUUCAGUGUCAAAAAUCCCAGAUCCUAGAAGAAGCAAUGCCUAGGGGCUGUGUUUGAGGGGAGUACGCAGAGUGAGGUGUCACUGAUGAUUUCAAAGAGGUGACCCUGGAGCUGAACUGUUUUUCAACGAAGGGAACAUUCUUUUCUUGCCUUUAUCUCUCUGUCCCCUGUCACCCCGAUCUCUGCUCCCACUCCCAACUCCUCAAAGGGCAAAUUGUGUUGCCUUGGGUCUCAUGGAGGAGAGAAGGCAGGGACAGAGAAGAGUCUGCCCGAAGCAAAUGCCAAUCCUUGCAGAGUGCCGAGCGAGCUGGGAGCAGCGGUGAGCUGGGUUGAGGGGCAGCCAUAGGAACAAGCGCAGGGAGAAGGCUGAGUAAUGGACGGGAGGCACAGUGGGUGACAGGGCUGAGAGCACAAUUUAUGAGUCACCCCGAGCAGCUGCUCUUUGCCCCAGGGGAGCAACUCACACAUUCCCAAGGGAGCCAGUGCCUGGGAGACGUGACGUCGUUGUCACUGGGAGAGGAGUUUCAACCAUGUGUGGCUUCGGAGGAGCUUGUUCCCAUGGGUAACACCCAAGAUUCUCAGGAUGCAAAAUCCCAGCCAAAAGGAGAUGGGGCUCUAAGACUUCUUGUGCAUGCUUGUAUGUAUGUAUGUAUGUGUGUGCAGGUGUGCAUAUGUGUGUGUGUGCAUGUGUGUGAAAGAAUGUGUCUCCUCCAUGCUGAGACCUCAUUAUUAACUGCUGAUCUGUGCAUCCAGGGUGGUAAGAACUUUCAUCGUUCAUGGAGGAGGUGGUGGCUCUGUGACUAAUAGCCCGCCAGUCCGUAGCCAUCCCAACAUUUUUCUCAAGGAUGCUCCCUCCACAAAAUCCUGCUCCAAACCCAUGAUUUGCAUGAAACAUUCCCUGUUCAACCACGACGGCUCCUCAUCUGGCAUGUACAUUUGGAUCAUGGUUAGAGGGGGCUGGCCACCUCUGAUUGAAUUCAGAAAGCCAGCCCGGUGCCGCCCACUGACUCUCUCCCAGGCAUCAGCCUUAAAGUUCUGGCAGCUAUUCCCAGCUAAAUGGGUGCAUCAGGCCUUCUUACUGCAUAGAUAGUUAAUAGGGGAAGGAAGAGAGCUCACUCACAGCCUCUCACUGCUGCAGUUUGUUUUAUAAACCUGAUAGGCACACAGCAAACCCAAUGACCAGAUACAAUGGAAGCAGCCUUUCCUUUUGCACUGUCACCAGCCGUGGCUUUAUAAAACCGUUGUUUUUCCUUACCUGGGAAGCCCUUGGGCUGUCCCUUACUUCCUUGAUAAGCCAGGCAAGGACAUGACAACCUUUAAAAUAUUGUAUCUCUGUGGAUAACUGAGCCCAAGAAGAGGAAGGAUCUAGUGUAUGCCUCCUUAACAAUGAAAUGAAAAACACAGGGAGCCAAAACCAAGUUUAAAUGAGGGUCAGUGGAUAACGCAUGAACUGGGAACACAAUUUGGUUGGGGAAGCUUGUCUAUCCGUGGUGUUUUCUGGAUAGCUGUUUUCCAGCACACACAAGUAUACAACACUUAUUUAAAACAGGCCAAGUGCGGUGGCUUACACCUAUAACCCCAGCGCUUCGGGAGGCCGAGGCGGGAGGAUCACUUGAGCCCAGAAGUUCAAGACCAGCCUGGGCAAUGUAGUGAGACCUCAUCUCUACAACAAAUUUGAAAAUUAGCUGGAUGUGGUGGCACACACCUGUGGUCCCAGGCACUUGGGAGGCUGAGGCAGGAGGAUUGCUUGAGCCCUGAAGGUCAAGGCUGCAGUGAGCCAUGACUGUGCCACUGCACUCCAGCCUGGGAAACAGAGGAAAACCCUGUCUCAAAGAAAUAAUAAAAGAAAAGAAAUAAAACAGACUUCCCCAAGAAUAGUAAACCACAGUUACAAGUUCAUAUUUGUAAGUUUAUUGUUUUAUUGAAUCUAUUUUUUGGGGUGGAUACUUGUUGAUAGUCCCUGUGGGUACCUGGGAUGUUCCUCCUAGCAUAGACGGCAAAAAUUUCCAGUGAAUUCCUCAUUUCCUCCUGUUUCUUUGUGAAUGCCCGUAGCUUUAAGGGCCUCUCACCUCCUCAGAGGCAGAGGAGGUUUGUGGACUGGGUGCUAAGCUAAUACCCAGGAACUGAAUUUUGUUUUGUUUGCUCCACCCACUCUUGGGUAGAGGUGCCGAUAGGAUGGCCACACUGUGGCCACAGCAAACAGAAAUGACCAGCACUACCCAGAUAGGAAGCACACGUGCCCAGCUGAUCCUUCGGUCCUGGGGAGCUACCUGAAUCUCAUGGGAAACCCACUUUCCUUUUUCCCCACCACAGACUUGGCUUUCUGCUUCCUUUCUGCUCUGCUCUUUCUGAAAAUGCAAAUGUGUGUUGGGCAGAUCUCCUAUGCAGGGAGAUUGGCAGAGCCCCUAGGGACACUUGACUGACCAAGGCUUCUUCGUGGAGAGCUGUUUUCUGGUUUAUUCUGUCUUGUGAUCGAUAGGAAACACUGGCCAGGCUUCUUAUUUUCCAAGGCUGCUGCUUUCUGACAGGCUUUAAGGGAUUAAGGGUUGAAUACAGGUGGGUUUCUUCCCCCUCCUGACUCUGUCACCUGGACAUUGCCAUGGCAAUAAUCCUCCCUGAAACAAAAAUAAAGGGCAGAACCGGUUGGACAGAAAGUGUAGCCGAAAAGUCUUCCAGGGACACUGAGAGUUGAGGGACUUUGAGGCCGCAUGGGGCUCCAUAGAGCAGCAAUCCCCAACCUUUUUGGCACCAGGGACUGGUUUUCUGGAAGAUAAUUUUUCCGUGGAUGUGGUGGGGUGGGGUGGGGUGGGGGUAGUUUCUGGAUGAUUCAAGCACAUUACACUUAUUGUGUACUUUAUUUCUAUUAUUAUUACAUUGUAAUAUGAAAUAAUUAUACAAUUCACCAUAACAUAGAAUCUGUGGGAGCCCUGAGCUUGUUUUCCUACAACUAGACAGUCCCAUCUGGGGGCGAUGGGAGACAGUGACAGAUCAUCAGGCAUUAGAUUCUCAUAAGGAAUGCACAACCUACAUUCCUCACAUGUGCAGUUCACAAUAGGGUUCUCGCUCCUAUAAGAAUUUGAUGCCAUCACUGAUCUUACAGGAGGUGGAGCUCAGGUGGUAAUGUGAGCAAUGGGGAGCGGCUGUCAAUACAAAUGACACUUUGCUCACUCACCCACCACUCACCUCCUGCUGUGCAGCCUGGUUCUUAACAGGCCAUGGAGCAGUAAUGCGUCCAUGGCCUGGGGGUUAGGAACCCCUGCUAUAGAUCAUGUCCACAAGAGCAAGGAGGU